This 253-nucleotide ribosomal RNA is filed under the name uncultured bacterium. RNAcentral describes it as "partial 16S ribosomal RNA". It matches the Rfam family "Bacterial small subunit ribosomal RNA", at positions 524 to 776 of the family's 1533-position model. The record is from RNAcentral.
UACGAAGGGGACUAGCGUUGCUCGGAAUCACUGGGCGUAAAGCGCACGUAGGCGGAUUGUUAAGUCAGGGGUGAAAUCCUGGAGCUCAACUCCAGAACUGCCUUUGAUACUGGCGAUCUCGAGUCCGGGAGAGGUGAGUGGAACUGCGAGUGUAGAGGUGAAAUUCGUAGAUAUUCGCAAGAACACCAGUGGCGAAGGCGGCUCACUGGCCCGGUACUGACGCUGAGGUGCGAAAGCGUGGGGAGCAAACAGG